ACAGCCCUUGAAAUCCAGCUACCGUAUUUCAUCUCUUCAAAGAUGCACAUAUUUUUCACAAUUUAAUACCCCUGAAAUUGGUAUGGAUCAUAAAUUGAUGCCAAAUCAUAGUUUAAUUGGCUUUUUCUCUUUUCCGAGGGGUACAUAAAAUACUGCUGAGUCUUGCAAUCAUUGGCUUCUUAGAGUGAUUGAAUACAGUAAUGAAUUUUGCCUAGAUAAAAAUGGUUAGGAGUUACUUAGGUCUAAAUUUGGUAGGCAUUAAUGGAAGUGAAAGGCUGUACACCUAAGAGGCUAGAAACACAUGACUCGAACUCUGUCAUCAAGUUGUUUGUAUUUCGUGGCUAGCUCAUAUGGCUGGAUGAGCCACAGACACUAAGCAUGCAUAUUCUUGGGUGAUUGGAGGCAUAACAUUUUCCUAUUUUGGGAAAAUUACCUAGUAAUGUAUCGUGUGUCUAAAAAGAUAGUCCCAAUGAGGUUAAGGGUGAGUGCAGCGUUUGGGAAAGAAGCAAGAAGUCAAAUAAAAACCAAGAAAGUACCGAGUUCUUUCAUUCGGGAAUAUUGCUGAAGUGACUUGUCUGAAAUUAGGCAGGAAGUUUGAUAGAGGAGAACUUGAUUUGCUGAUUUUUGUUGUAAUAUGAUUUAAUAUAGGGUAGAAAGGACAAGCUUUAACCUAACCUUAGCACACGUUUAGGGGGAAAUGGUAAGGCAUGUUUGGCUUUUUGAUUUAACAGUUGGCUCUGGACAAUAAAAUUAUUUCAUCAAAACACUUACUACCAAACACUGCUGUAUUCUAUUAAUAAAAUAUUUGCCCUUCUUUGCCAAAUGCAGCUUUCUGCACAAAAGAUUUCUCAGUGACUAUCAGUGGGCUAUAUAUAUUUGUCAGUCUUGCUUCCUAGAGAAGUACUAAAAGGGAAAUGUAGACUGUUGUUGGAAUAACGUGUCAGAUGGAGAGUCAGGAUACAGCCUAAAUCUGGGAUUGAGGUAUAUGCAACCUCUAGUGGCUUUCAAAAGAUUCGCUCUAAUCCACUGUAAAAACUGUAAAAUGUCAAAAGCCACCAUACAGAUGCAUAAAUACAACUAACAGAAAUUUUAUGUCCAAAAUAAAACUCAUGCUUA
RNAcentral lists this long non-coding RNA (1116 nucleotides) under Equus caballus (horse). RNAcentral describes it as "lncRNA (ENSECAG00000056821.1)". Lineage: Eukaryota; Metazoa; Chordata; Mammalia; Perissodactyla; Equidae. The record is from RNAcentral.